GCCUGGGUGGCUCAGUUGGUUAAGCAUCUGACUUCAGCCCAGGUCAUGAUCUUAUCUUGUGGUUCGUGGGUUCGAGCCCCACGUCGGGCU
RNAcentral lists this transfer RNA (90 nucleotides) under Felis catus (domestic cat). It matches the Rfam family "tRNA". Rfam says of the family: Transfer RNA (tRNA) molecules are approximately 80 nucleotides in length. Their secondary structure includes four short double-helical elements and three loops (D, anti-codon, and T loops). Further hydrogen bonds mediate the characteristic L-shaped molecular structure. tRNAs have two regions of fundamental functional importance: the anti-codon, which is responsible for specific mRNA codon recognition, and the 3' end, to which the tRNAs corresponding amino acid is attached (by aminoacyl-tRNA synthetases). tRNAs cope with the degeneracy of the genetic code in two manners: having more than one tRNA (with a specific anti-codon) for a particular amino acid; and 'wobble' base-pairing, i.e. permitting non-standard base-pairing at the 3rd anti-codon position. Lineage: Eukaryota; Metazoa; Chordata; Mammalia; Carnivora; Felidae. The record is from Rfam by way of RNAcentral.